This 496-nucleotide ribosomal RNA is filed under the name uncultured bacterium. Its description in RNAcentral is "partial 16S ribosomal RNA". It matches the Rfam family "Bacterial small subunit ribosomal RNA", at positions 28 to 506 of the family's 1533-position model. The record is from RNAcentral.
GAUGAACGCUGGCGGCGUGCCUAAUACAUGCAAGUCGAGCGAACAGACGAGGAGCUUGCUCCUCUGACGUUAGCGGCGGACGGGUGAGUAACACGUGGAUAACCUACCUAUAAGACUGGGAUAACUUCGGGAAACCGGAGCUAAUACCGGAUAAUAUAUUGAACCGCAUGGUUCAAUAGUGAAAGACGGUUUUGCUGUCACUUAUAGAUGGAUCCGCGCCGCAUUAGCUAGUUGGUAAGGUAACGGCUUACCAAGGCAACGAUGCGUAGCCGACCUGAGAGGGGGAUCGGCCACACUGGAACUGAGACACGGUCCAGACUCCUACGGGAGGCAGCAGUAGGGAAUCUUCCGCAAUGGGCGAAAGCUUGACGGAGCAACGCCGCGUGAGUGAUGAAGGUCUUCGGAUCGUAAAACUCUGUUAUUAGGGAAGAACAAAUGUGUAAGUAACGAUGCACGUCUUGACGGUACCUAAUCAGAAAGCCACGGCUAACUACGU